GACAGAGGGUGCAAACGUUGUUCGGAAUUACUGGGCGUAAAGCGCAUGUAGGCGGCCAAGCAAGUCGGGUGUGAAAGCCCAGGGCUCAACCCUGGAAGUGCACUCGAAACUGCUCGGCUGGAGUCUCGGAGAGGGUCGCGGAAUUCUGGGUGUAGAGGUGAAAUUCGUAGAUAUCCAGAGGAACACCAGUGGCGAAGGCGGCGUUCUGGACUGCAACUGACACUGAGGAACGAAAGCCAGGGGAGCAAACGGG
RNAcentral lists this ribosomal RNA (253 nucleotides) under uncultured bacterium. RNAcentral's name for it is "partial 16S ribosomal RNA". It matches the Rfam family "Bacterial small subunit ribosomal RNA", at positions 524 to 776 of the family's 1533-position model. The record is from RNAcentral.